ACUUAGAUAGUUUAAUAAAAAUAUUGAUUUGUGGGAUCAAAGUUAUAAGUUUUAUUUUAAGUA
This 63-nucleotide transfer RNA is filed under the name Thermistis croceocincta. Its description in RNAcentral is "tRNA-His". Lineage: Eukaryota; Metazoa; Arthropoda; Insecta; Coleoptera; Cerambycidae. The record is from RNAcentral.